RNAcentral lists this long non-coding RNA (1142 nucleotides) under Homo sapiens (human). RNAcentral's name for it is "HSALNT0299578". The record is from RNAcentral. Lineage: Eukaryota; Metazoa; Chordata; Mammalia; Primates; Hominidae.
UUACAUUUGAACAUGGGUCUGUGUCCACUCCGAAGCCCGUUCUUCCUACUGCAUACAACACACUAGCACAGAAGAUGGUCCUCUUUCUUUGCUUAGAUUGUUUCAAAAUUGAUUUUCCAUUUUCAGGGAUAUGGAAUGUCAUUCUGGAAGUAGGUGAUAAUUAUGUUCGGUGGCUUGAGAUUGGCAUGAUCUCCGGGAUACGAGUCUGCAGGCCACAUCAGCCAGUCACGUGUGUGGGCAACUCACUUUACCUCGGUGGACCUUUUUCUCUCCCAGAAAACCAUAAGGAUGGAUUGAAGGACUAAAGUCCAACAGUUAAAACUGUUCCUUUUAAUUCUAAAAUCCUCUGAGUGUAUGAACUGCUUCACCUUUGCAUAGAGGACAAGCUUGUGCUCAGGAGGGCCUGAAUUAUUUCAGUUCCCUGAAUGUGCUGGCCCUCCUCAUGCAGGAGCUGCCCCAGGGUUUGUAAACCUUCCCCUACUACCAGGCACCACCACUGCUAUCUGAUGGCCGCACAAAGGAAUGAGUGAACACCGUCAGGAAGACAUUGGUCCUGUGCUCUACGAGAGGGUGUGCCCAACCACCACUGUCCUCUCAGCAUCCUCCAUUGUGACCAACGUCACCAGGGCUGCCCGAGGAAACCCUAAGAGAGGGAGGGGUAUUUUCCGUGAAAACACACCUGGAUGCAGGUCUAGGAAACCAACCCCUGGUCAGAGUAGCCCAAGAGAGAACAGGCCCAUGCCCAGUGCUUUGGUGCAAGCACAGCAGCUGGCCUGAAGAUAAGAGUUAAAUGAAUCCAGCCCCCUGAAAGGAAGGUUGUCUAUGCUACAGAAUCAAAUCAGGAAGAAAGGAAGCUAUUCUCUCACCUAAGGGCAUUGAGAAAGCAAGGCUGAAGACUAGGUGGGCAACAGCGCUGCAUGUCAAAGGGUUUACUGUGAUUUCACAAAGCUCCAUAGAAAGCCUCCAAAUGAAGACUGGCAGGCUGGGAAAGUCUCUGAAACCAUGAAGAAAAGGGACUAGUGGAGGAGCUGCCCUCAAGAGAAAGGCAAGAUGUUGAGUUUAGAUGGCCUCAGAAUAUUAAGCACCUAACCUGCUCUGUCAUUUAGGUUAAUUCAUGGAGCCCUAUAUAUAUAUAUAUAUAU